RNAcentral lists this ribosomal RNA (465 nucleotides) under uncultured Klebsiella sp. RNAcentral's name for it is "bacterial SSU rRNA". It matches the Rfam family "Bacterial small subunit ribosomal RNA", at positions 338 to 795 of the family's 1533-position model. The record is from RNAcentral. Lineage: Bacteria; Pseudomonadati; Pseudomonadota; Gammaproteobacteria; Enterobacterales; Enterobacteriaceae.
CCUACGGGCGGCUGCAGUGGGGAAUAUUGCACAAUGGGCGCAAGCCUGAUGCAGCCAUGCCGCGUGUGUGAAGAAGGCCUUCGGGUUGUAAAGCACUUUCAGCGGGGAGGAAGGCGUUAAGGUUAAUAACCUUGUCGAUUGACGUUACCCGCAGAAGAAGCACCGGCUAACUCCGCGCCAGCAGCCGCGGUAAUACGGAGGGUGCAAGCGUUAAUCGGAAUUACUGGGCGUAAAGCGCACGCAGGCGGUCUGUCAAGUCGGAUGUGAAAUCCCCGGGCUCAACCUGGGAACUGCAUUCGAAACUGGCAGGCUAGAGUCUUGUAGAGGGGGGUAGAAUUCCAGGUGUAGCGGUGAAAUGCGUAGAGAUCUGGAGGAAUACCGGUGGCGAAGGCGGCCCCCUGGACAAAGACUGACGCUCAGGUGCGAAAGCGUGGGGAGCAAACAGGAUUAGAUACCCUUGUAGUC